UACGUAGGGUGCGAGCGUUAAUCGGAAUUACUGGGCGUAAAGCGUGCGCAGGCGGUUUUGUAAGCCAGAUGUGAAAUCCCCGGGCUUAACCUGGGAAUGGCAUUUGGGACUGCAAGGCUUGAGUGCGGCAGAGGAGACUGGAAUUCCUGGUGUAGCAGUGAAAUGCGUAGAGACCCGGAGGAACACCAGUGGCGAAGGCGGCUUCCUGGUCUGCGACUGACGCUGUGGCGCGAAAGCUAGGGGAGCAAACGGG
RNAcentral lists this ribosomal RNA (253 nucleotides) under uncultured bacterium. Its description in RNAcentral is "partial 16S ribosomal RNA". It matches the Rfam family "Bacterial small subunit ribosomal RNA", at positions 524 to 776 of the family's 1533-position model. The record is from RNAcentral.